Molecule: non-coding RNA, 95 nt
Organism: Borealophlyctis nickersoniae
Lineage: Eukaryota; Fungi; Chytridiomycota; Chytridiomycetes; Rhizophlyctidales; Borealophlyctidaceae
Source: the annotation of a GenBank genome assembly
UCUCGGUUAGUAUAGUGGUCAGUAUCUCCGCCUGUCAAUUGGUAUCGCCAUUGAUCAGCCCGCGGAAGACCCGGGUUCGAUUCCCGGACCGAGAG